Molecule: ribosomal RNA, 501 nt
Filed under: uncultured bacterium
Lineage: Bacteria
Description: partial 16S ribosomal RNA
Rfam family: Bacterial small subunit ribosomal RNA
Source: RNAcentral
AUUGAACGCUGGCGGCAGGCUUAACACAUGCAAGUCGAGCGGGGGAAGGUAGCUUGCUACUGGACCUAGCGGCGGACGGGUGAGUAAUGCUUAGGAAUCUGCCUAUUAGUGGGGGACAACGUCUCGAAAGGGAUGCUAAUACCGCAUACGUCCUACGGGAGAAAGCAGGGGAUCUUCGGCCCUUGCGCUAAUAGAUGAGCCUAAGUCGGAUUAGCUAGAUGGCGGGGUACAGGCCUACCAAGGCGGCGAUCUGUAGCGGGUCUGAGAGGAUGAUCCGCCACACUGGGACUGGGACACGGCCCAGACUCCUACGGGAGGCAGCAGUGGGGAAUAUUGGACAAUGGGGGGAACCCUGAUCCAGCCAUGCCGCGUGUGUGAAGAAGGCCUUAUGGUUGUAAAGCACUUUAAGCGAGGAGGAGGCUACUCUAGUUAAUACCCAAGAUGAGUGGACGUUACUCGCAGAAUAAGCACCGGCUAACUCUGUGCCAGCAGCCGCGGUAA